GACGAACGCUGGCGGCGUGCUUAACACAUGCAAGUCGAACGGAGUGGCGAACGGGUGAGUAACACGUGGGUGACCUGCCCUGCACUUCGGGAUAAGCCUGGGAAACUGGUUCUAAUACCGGCUCGGGUGGGAGGGGCCCGCGGCCUAUCAGCUUGUUGGUGGGGUAAUGGCCUACGAAGGCGGCGACGGGUAGCCGGCCGGGGCGGGUGGACGGCCACAAUGGGACUGCGAGACGUCGCAGACGCCUACGGGAGGCAGCAGUGGGGAAGAUUGCACAAGGGGCGGAAGCCUGUUGCAGCGACGCUGCGGGGGGGAUGACGGCCUUCGUGGUGUAAACUCCUUUCACCAUCGACGCGGUAGAGGGAGAAGAAGCACCGGCGAACUACGUGCCAGCAGCCGCGGUAAUUC
RNAcentral lists this ribosomal RNA (408 nucleotides) under uncultured bacterium. RNAcentral describes it as "partial 16S ribosomal RNA". It matches the Rfam family "Bacterial small subunit ribosomal RNA", at positions 28 to 526 of the family's 1533-position model. The record is from RNAcentral.